UGGUGGAGUGAUUUGUCUGCUUAAUUGCGUUAACGAACGAGAUCUCUGCCAAUAAAUAGAUGCUGCUUCCGAUUGUAGGCUGGUGUUCUUGGGGGGGUCUCCUUUCCCAAGUUCUACCGGCUGAGGAGGCAGAAAGUUACUUAUUGGGAUUAUGCAUUCUUCUAAAUGCAUUGAGACGAGAGCCAAUAGCA
This 191-nucleotide ribosomal RNA is filed under the name uncultured eukaryote. RNAcentral's name for it is "partial 18S ribosomal RNA". It matches the Rfam family "Eukaryotic small subunit ribosomal RNA", at positions 1299 to 1458 of the family's 1831-position model. The record is from RNAcentral.